AGCAGCCGCGGUAAUUCCAGCUCCAAUAGCGUAUAUUAAAGUUGUUGCAGUUAAAAAGCUCGUAGUUGAACUUCGGGAUCAAUUGAUUGGUCAUGCUUUAGUAUGUACUGGUCAUAUUGGUUCUCACCUUCUAAAGAACCAUAAUGUCAUUCACUUGAUGUUAGUGGGGAAUUAGGACUGUUACCUUAGAAAAAUUAGAGUAGUUUAAAGCAGGCUUACGCUUGAAUACAUUAGCAUGGAAUAAUGAAAUAGGACAUCGCAUUCUAUUUUGUUGGUUUCUAGGAUCGAUGUAAUGAUUAAUAGGGAUAGGUUGGGGGCAUUAGUAUUCAAUUGUCAGAGGUGAAAUUCUUGGAUUUUAUUGAAGACUAACUACUGACGAAAGCUAUUUGCCAAGGAUUGUUUUCAUUAAUCAAGAACGAAAGUUAGGGGAUCGAAGGCGAUCAGAUACCGUCGUAGUACCUUAACCAAUAAACUAUGCCGACUAGGGAUCGGAUGAUGUUGUAAUUUUUUAAAUGUACUA
Molecule: ribosomal RNA, 520 nt
Filed under: uncultured fungus
Lineage: Eukaryota; Fungi
Description: bacterial SSU rRNA
Rfam family: Eukaryotic small subunit ribosomal RNA
Source: RNAcentral